RNAcentral lists this ribosomal RNA (494 nucleotides) under uncultured bacterium. RNAcentral describes it as "partial 16S ribosomal RNA". It matches the Rfam family "Bacterial small subunit ribosomal RNA", at positions 28 to 507 of the family's 1533-position model. The record is from RNAcentral.
GACGAACGCUGGCGGCGUGCUUAACACAUGCAAGUCGAACGGUGAAGCGCCUUCCUUUUUGGUGGGUGUGGAUGAGUGGCGAACGGGUGAGUAACACGUGAGUAACCUGCCCCCUUCUUCUGGAUAACCGCAUGAAAGUGUGGCUAAUACGGGAUAUUCUGGGUCUGUCGCAUGAUGGGUCUGGGAAAGAUAUUGUUUCGGUGGGGGAUGGGCUCGCGGCCUAUCAGCUUGUUGGUGGGGUGAUGGCCUACCAAGGCGGUGACGGGUAGCCGGCCUGAGAGGGUGGACGGUCACACUGGGACUGAGACACGGCCCAGACUCCGACGGGGGGCAGCAGUGGGGAAUAUUGCACAAUGGGCGCAAGCCUGAUGCAGCGACGCCGCGGGAGGGAUGGAGGCCUGCGGGUUGUGAACCUCUUUCGCCAGUGAAGCAGGCCUGCCUCGUUUGUGGGUGGGUUGACGGUAGCUGGAUAAGAAGCGCCGGCUAACUACGUG